Molecule: ribosomal RNA, 420 nt
Filed under: uncultured bacterium
Lineage: Bacteria
Description: bacterial SSU rRNA
Rfam family: Bacterial small subunit ribosomal RNA
Source: RNAcentral
GAGGAAUAUUGGUCAAUGGGCGGAAGCCUGAACCAGCCAUCCCGCGUGCAGGAAGACGGCCCUGUGGGUUGUAAACUGCUUUUCCAGGGGGAGAAACUUUCCGAUGUAUCGGGAUUUGACGGUACCCUGGGAAUAAGCAUCGGCUAACUCCGUGCCUGCAGCCGCGGUAAUACGGAGGAUGCGAGCGUUAUCCGGAUUUAUUGGGUUUAAAGGGUGCGUAGGCGGACAAAUAAGUCAGUGGUGAAAUCACUCAGCUUAACUGAGUAACUGCCAUUGAUACUGUUAGUCUAGAAUGUAAAUGGAGUAGGCGGAAUGAAUCAUGUAGAGGUGACAUUCAUAGAUAUGAUUCAGAACACCGAUCGCGAAGGCAGCUUGCUAAGAUACAAUUGACGCUGAGGCACGAAAGCGUGGGUAGCAAAC